CUACGGGGUGCUCCAGUGAGGAAUAUUGCACAAUGGGGGGCACCCUUCUUCCGCAACGCCGCGUGGAGGAUGACGCAUUUCGGUGUGUAAACUCCUUUUAUAUGUCAAGAAAAUGACGGUAGCAUAUGAAUAAGCACCUGCUAACUCCGUGCCAGCAGCCGCGGUAAUACGGAGGGUGCAAGCGUUACUCGGAAUCACUGGGCGUAAAGGACGCGUAGGCGGGUUGGAAAGUCAGGUGUGAAAUCCUACAGCUUAACUGUAGAACUGCACUUGAAACUUCUAAUCUAGAGUAUGGGAGGGGGAGAUGGAAUUAGUGGUGUAGGGGUAAAAUCCGUAGAUAUCACUAGGAAUACCUAAAGCGAAGGCGAUCUCCUGGAACAUUACUGACGCUAAGGCGUGAAAGCGUGGGGAGCAAACAGGAUUAGAUACCCCUGUAGUC
This 439-nucleotide ribosomal RNA is filed under the name uncultured bacterium. Its description in RNAcentral is "partial 16S ribosomal RNA". It matches the Rfam family "Bacterial small subunit ribosomal RNA", at positions 339 to 795 of the family's 1533-position model. The record is from RNAcentral.